UGAGACGACGCUGGCGGCGUGCCUAACACAUGCAAGUCGAACGAAGCUCCGAACCUUGAGAUUCGUCGAUAGGUGAGGAUGACUUAGUGGCGGACGGGUGAGUAAUGCGUGAGCAACCUGCCCUUUGGAGGGGGACAACAGCUGGAAACGGCUGCUAAUACCGCAUAAAGUAUCUGGGAGGCAUCUUCCGGAUACCAAAGAUUUUAUCGCCGAAGGAUGGGCUCACGUCUGAUUAGCUAGUUGGUGGGGUAACGGCCCACCAAGGCUGCGAUCAGUAGCCGGACUGAGAGGUUGAACGGCCACAUUGGGACUGAGAUACGGCCCAGACUCCUACGGGAGGCAGCAGUGGGGAAUAUUGGGCAAUGGGGGCAACCCUGACCCAGCAACGCCGCGUGAAGGAAGAAGGCCUUCGGGUUGUAAACUUCUUUUAUGAGGGACGAAAGAGAUGACGGUACCUCAUGAAUAAGCUACGGCUAACUACGUG
Molecule: ribosomal RNA, 484 nt
Filed under: uncultured bacterium
Lineage: Bacteria
Description: bacterial SSU rRNA
Rfam family: Bacterial small subunit ribosomal RNA
Source: RNAcentral